This 371-nucleotide ribosomal RNA is filed under the name uncultured organism. Its description in RNAcentral is "partial 16S ribosomal RNA". It matches the Rfam family "Bacterial small subunit ribosomal RNA", at positions 527 to 896 of the family's 1533-position model. The record is from RNAcentral.
GUAGGUGGCAAGCGUUGUCCGGAAUUAUUGGGCGUAAAGCGCGCGCAGGCGGUCCUUUAAGUCUGAUGUGAAAGCCCACGGCUCAACCGUGGAGGGUCAUUGGAAACUGGGGGACUUGAGUACAGAAGAGGAAAGCGGAAUUCCAAGUGUAGCGGUGAAAUGCGUAGAGAUUUGGAGGAACGCCAGUGGCGAAGGCGGCUUUCUGGUCUGUAACUGACGCUGAGGCGCGAAAGCGUGGGGAGCAAACAGGAUUAGAUACCCUGGUAGUCCACGCCGUAAACGAUGAGUGCUAAGUGUUAGGGGUUUCCGCCCCCUUAGUGCUGCAGCUAACGCAUUAAGCACUCCGCCUGGGGAGUACGGCCGCAAGGCUG